UUUUUCUUUUUUAUUUUUUUUACAUUUCAUCUGUGUCUUCUGUGGGCACUGGCUUUUUAAAUCAUGUUUAUUUUAUGUGCUCUCCUGGUAGCCAGUGAAGAGGAGACACUUACCCCAUUCCACAGACCACCAGCCACACAGCCAGCCUAGGACAAAAGCAUUUAGCAGGCUCUGGGAUGACCUAUGAAGAAACAUCUCAAGGAGAAGGUUUCCUGGCGGUGAAUCAGACAGUUCCUAGACCCAGGCGCUGUGGGGCAGAGGAAAGGCCCCUCUCCUGGCAGCAGGGGUAGGAUGGACCCCUCUAGACCUGGGAGGAGUGAAACCUCAGGGCCCCAGCCCCUGGCCCAGUGCCUUAUCCACAGGAUGCCCUCAGGACGCCACACCAGCCUCCUCAUCCACUGUCCCUCUCACUGGUUCACAAAUGGGGGUCUCCAGUUAACUUCUGCUGUUGUUGUUUGUUUGUUGUAUUUUUUUUUCUUCUUCUUUUUUUCUCUCUGUCACCCAGGCUGGAGUGCAGUGGUGCAAUCUCGGCUCACUGCAACCUCUGCCUCUGCGGUUCAAGCGAUUCUCGUGCCUCAGCUUCCCAGUAACUGGGAUUACAGGUGCCCGCCUCACACCCAGCUAAUUUUUUGUAUUUUUAGUAGAGACAAGGUUUCACCAGUUUGGCCAAGCUGGUCUCGAACUCCUGACCUCAGGUGAUAUGCCCACCUCGGCCUCUCAAAGUGCUGGGAUUACAGGUGUGAGCCACCGCGCCCAGCUGCUUUUUGUUUGUUUGUUUUUGAGACAGUCUUGCUCUUUUGCCCAGGUUGGAAUGAAGUGGUGCAAUCUCGCCACUGCAACCUCCACCACCUCCUGGUUGAAGUGAUUCUCCUGCCUCAGCCUCCCGAGUAGCUGGAAUGACAAGCACCCAGCAUCAUGCCCGGCUAAUUUUUGUAUUUUUGUAGAGACAGGGUUUCACCAUGUUUCACCAUGUUGGCCAGGCUAGUCUCAAACUCCUGAGUUCAGGUGAUCCACCCGCCUCAGACUCCCAAAGUGCUGAGAUUACAGGCAUGAGCCGUCGUGCCUGGCCUUUUUUUUUUUUUCCCCUUUUUUUAAAGGUUUGUCCAGAGAAAAAUAGGGAUGAGGGGAUGAGGCAGAGGGAAGGAAGAUCUUGGUGUGUCCUUGACCUGUGGAAGGGUGUGGGGAGGAGACAGACAAAUGGAUUUGAUGAGGGCCGUGGGGCCUGGGGGGCCUGGCUCUGCACCUUUAGUGACUAAGUACAGCCCAGAGUUGGAGACAGGACUCGCCCCUAACCUGUGCAAGGGGCCCAGCCCCACCUGGUGUGGUAAAUUAUCUGCUGUGUCCUCAGCUCCCGCCCCCUUAUGCUUGACUGCCCUCACCCCGGGCAGGUGGUCCCUUGCCUGGCCCAAGCUUUCUGCAGAAGGACUUGGCUGUGCUGCUGUCCCAGGGGGCGCCGUGGCAGACCAUCUAUGGGGAGUGUGAUGGCUGUGUGCACACUGGAGUCAGAAAUUGCCACAGCCAGGAGGAACACCUCACAGGAGCAUGGUUGCCUGCGGGAGGGGCUGAGGAAGCUCCCAAAUGGCUCUGUGGCAAAACCGUCAUCCUCACAGAGGACUAGAAAUCUCGCUGCAGGCCGGGCGUGGUGGCUCACGCCUGUAAUCCCAGCACUUUGGGAGGCCAAGAAGGGUGGAUCACACGGUCAGGGGAUCGAGACCACCCUGGCUAAUAC
Molecule: long non-coding RNA, 1729 nt
Organism: Macaca fascicularis (crab-eating macaque)
Lineage: Eukaryota; Metazoa; Chordata; Mammalia; Primates; Cercopithecidae
Source: Ensembl